Molecule: ribosomal RNA, 478 nt
Filed under: uncultured bacterium
Lineage: Bacteria
Description: SSU rRNA
Rfam family: Bacterial small subunit ribosomal RNA
Source: RNAcentral
AGGACGAACGCUGGCGGCGUGCUUAACACAUGCAAGUCGAACGGAAAGGCCCUUUCGGGGGUACUCGAGUGGCGAACGGGUGAGUAACACGUGGGUGAUCUGCCCUGCACUUUGGGAUAAGCCUGGGAAACUGGGUCUAAUACCGAAUACACCUUGCUGGCUGCAUGGCUGGUGGGGAAAGCUUUUGCGGUGUGGGAUGGGCCCGCGGCCUAUCAGCUUGUUGGUGGGGUGAUGGCCUACCAAGGCGACGACGGGUAGCCGGCCUGAGAGGGUGUCCGGCCACACUGGGACUGAGAUACGGCCCAGACUCCUACGGGAGGCAGCAGUGGGGAAUAUUGCACAAUGGGCGCAAGCCUGAUGCAGCGACGCCGCGUGAGGGAUGACGGCCUUCGGGUUGUAAACCGUCUUUCAGUAUCGACGAAGCGCAAGUGACGGUAGGUACAGAAGAAGCACCGGCCAACUACGUGCCAGCAGCCGC